UACGUAGGGUGCAAGCGUUAAUCGGAAUUACUGGGCGUAAAGCGUGCGCAGGCGGUUUUGUAAGUUUGUCGUGAAAUCCCCGGGCUCAACCUGGGAAUGGCGAUGAAGACUGCAAGGCUAGAAUCUGGCAGAGGGGGGUAGAAUUCCACGUGUGAGCAGUGAAAUGCGUAGAUAUGUGGAGGAACACCGAUGGCGAAGGCAGCCCCCUGGGUCAAGAUUGACGCUCAUGCACGAAAGCGUGGGGAGCAAACGAG
RNAcentral lists this ribosomal RNA (254 nucleotides) under uncultured bacterium. RNAcentral describes it as "partial 16S ribosomal RNA". It matches the Rfam family "Bacterial small subunit ribosomal RNA", at positions 524 to 776 of the family's 1533-position model. The record is from RNAcentral.